This 431-nucleotide ribosomal RNA is filed under the name uncultured bacterium. RNAcentral's name for it is "partial 16S ribosomal RNA". It matches the Rfam family "Bacterial small subunit ribosomal RNA", at positions 29 to 507 of the family's 1533-position model. The record is from RNAcentral.
AACGAACGCUGGCGGCAGGCUUAACACAUGCAAGUCGAACGCCCCGCCAGGGGAGUGGCAGACGGGUGAGUAACGCGUGGGAACAUACCCUUUUCUACGGAAUAUCUCUGGGAAACUGGAAUUAAUACCGUAUACGCCCUACGGGGGAAAGAUUUAUCGGGGAAGGAUUGGCCCGCGUUGGAUUAGCUAGUUGGUGGGGUAAAGGCCUACCAAGGCGACGAUCCAUAGCUGGUCUGAGAGGAUGAUCAGCCACAUUGGGACUGGGACACGGCCCAAACUCCUCCGGGAGGCGGCAGUGGGGAAUAUUGGACAGUGGGCGCAAGCCUGAUGCAGCCAUGCCGCGUGAGUGAUGAAGGCCGUAGGGUUGUAAAGCUCUUUCACCGAUGAAGAUAAUGACGGUAGUCGGAGAAGAAGCCCCGGCUAACUUCGUG